This 40717-nucleotide long non-coding RNA is filed under the name Citrus maxima (pomelo). Its description in RNAcentral is "long non-coding RNA (CMAX_LNC000715)". Lineage: Eukaryota; Viridiplantae; Streptophyta; Magnoliopsida; Sapindales; Rutaceae. The record is from RNAcentral.
UCAAUACAAAUGCUUCCGUUUCAUCCCAUAAACAAAUAAAAUUCACAUCUGUACACAUCUACUUUGCUUUGCUAGAUAGAGUUCCUCUGCAUUUCCCAAUUGCCUAAAGAGAAGGGGAAAAGAAAAAGAGGGCCAAAAAAUGCCUGAAAUGGUAAGGAACAAGCAAGUGAUAUUGAAGGACUAUGUGUCUGGUUUCCCAAAAGAAACAGACAUGUACAUGACCGAAAGUUCCAUAGAAUUGAAGGUGCCAAAAGGUUCAAAUGGGGUUCUUUUAAAGAACUUGUACUUGUCCUGUGAUCCGUACAUGCGACCAAGAAUGACCUACAUCGAAGGAUCUUAUGUUGAAUCCUUUAAACCUGGCUUGGUUAGUGCACUCGCUCAUGGCCACGCUUUUCAUUUCCAUGGCUUCUUGCUCUUUUGUUAUAGAAAAUUUAUUUUUGGUUGCAGUUUGGUUCGACUGCUAAAAUCUCGUGCGAUAAUUGUAUAAGAUAUCUAGAGUUUGAACUUCUUUCACAUUAGGGUUCAAGGAAGUUAACUUAAAUGAUUUUCAAAAUUUUAAAUGUGUACCAAUGAAUUUAAUUUCAUAGCUUAAACUUAUUGUUUGAUCAUACUCUAACUUUGGACAGGAAAAUUAUAUUUUUCCUUUUGUUCUUUGACUUCGUGUAUGUUGUGUGAAGUACUUGUGCUUGAAAAUGAAUUGCUGACACAGAAAUUUCUAUGAAUGCAUGCAGCCCAUAAGUGGAUAUGGGGUGGCUAAAGUUUUGGAUUCAGAGAAUCCAGAGUUCAACAAAGGUGACUUGGUUUGGGGAAUGACUGGAUGGGAAGAGUAUAGUCUCAUUACGGCUCCACACUUGUUUAAAAUUCAGCACACAGAUGUGCCUCUUUCUUACUAUACUGGAAUCCUCGGUAAACUUUUUGUUUGCGCAAUUUAUGUGAGCAAAUUGUGUCUUCUUUUUCAUAUGUAAAUGUUUUUGAUAUCUUGAUGUGAAGGUAGAAAAUUGCAUGUUUUGAGUUUUUGCAUAUUUGAUGGAAACACAGAACCGUACCUGAAUAUUUCAGAACCCCCUUUUCUUUGAAGUUUGAACACUUUUCUUGAAUGUAUCAACUUUAUUUAUGGGAUAUGUUGCCAAAUUGGCAAAUCUAUUCGUUAUAAAACUUUCCUUUGACAGUUUAAUCUAAGCAGAUGUUAAUUCUGCAAAUAGAGUGUGCCUUAGUUUAGAUUGAUAGAUUUGUCUCCUUCUGUACAGUAAAAACUUUGAGCAUUUUCGCCAUAUUCUGAUCAAUACACUCCAACUAGUUAGUUCUUGAGGCGUUUCCUGGUUUCGUGGAGUGAGCCAAGAUGUAUACGUUUGCAAAUUGGCAAUGUCUUUUGCUUGAUGUGUUGUGAGUUGUGAGUGUCAAUAGGAAAGUUUCAAAGUGCGCAGUGCUCACUUGAGCACCCAUAUUACUUGGUGACCUGUUGCCUCAGCAAACAAGACCUCUGUUUUAUGAACUCCAAAAAGUUAUUCUGUUAAAAAGAUCGAGACAGAGGCCAUACUAUAUUUAUUAUUGCUAUAAAAGUGUCAAACAAUAUUCUUUAUUUAAUAUUCUAAACGAUUGAGCCAUUUAGUUAUGAUACUCUGCUGUACUGGGGCUAAUAAUCUAAGUCGGUUCAAAGUGGUAAAUUUAUAAAUUGAUAGGUAUGCCUGGUAUGACCGCUUACGUUGGAUUUUAUGAGGUCUGCUCUCCUAAGCAUGGAGAGUGCGUCUUCAUAUCAGCAGCAUCUGGUGCAGUUGGUCAGCUUGUGGGGCAGUUUGCAAAGUUAUUGGGUUGCUAUGUCGUCGGAAGUGCUGGAAGCAAAGACAAGGUAUGUAAUCUGUGUGAACUACUUGAUUGUUUCCAUGUUACUUUCAAACAUUUAAAUUAAAAAGGAAAUUUUCAUAAUCUUGCCUUUUCUAUGAUUUUCAACACCAAGGUUGAUCUACUGAAGAACAAGUUUGGGUUCGACGAGGCAUUUAACUAUAAAGAAGAAGCUGAUUUGAAUGCAGCAUUGAAAAGGUUAGCAUCAAUAAAUGCCUUAGCUUGAUGCAGCUUGAUGAAGUAUGAUACACAUUUCUGACCAAUAUACUGCGUUCCCUGAUCUCUUACUUGAAAUAUCUUGGUUUGAGAAUCUCAUGCCAAUGCCUUUAACAUUUUGGCAGGUACUUUCCUGAAGGAAUUGAUAUAUAUUUUGAAAACGUUGGUGGAAAAUUGCUUGACGCAGUGCUACCCAACAUGAAAAUCCGUGGUCGAAUUGCUGCAUGCGGUAUGAUCUCACAGUACAAUCUUGACAAGCCUGAAGGUGUGCACAACUUGAUGUAUCUUGUUUCGAAACGGCUUCGAAUGGAAGGAUUCAUUGUUCUGGAUCACUAUCACCUCUAUCCAAAGUUUCUGGAAAUGAUCAUUCCUCACAUCAAAGAAGGGAAGCUUGUAUACGUCGAAGACAUGGCUGAAGGUCUGGAGAGUGCUCCGGCAGCUCUCAUCGGUCUAUUCUCUGGCCAGAAUGUUGGGAAACAGGUGGUUGCUGUUGCUCCUGAAUGAAGAACAAGUUAGUGUUGUGUGUUCUUUUACCCUUUGACACAAAACUUCAAUGUUAAAGAGAGAAUGCUGCUCAUACUGCUUUAUAAAAUAAUCAAAUGAGUGCAAGUUUCAUGAUAUGUGCUGAAUAAAAAUAUUGGAAAUUAAGCAGCUAGCCUAGCUCCUUCUUGUAGUUGCAGUUUGAAUGAUGCUGCUGCACAACUGCUGCCGAAAAAAUCCUUAAUAGAUGAUUAGCAAGGUUUCAAAAAUAAAAAUAAAUGUUUGUGCAAUGUGCCGAAUAUGACAGCCACAAAGAAAGAGCAUACAAAUUGACUGGUUUUAUGUCUUCUCUAGGAGAAAGCUACAAUACAAGAAAUUGUAUUGAUGCCAUGGACCAAAUUUCUUAUUUAAACUUUUAAUUUUUUUUUAUUAAAAUUACUUAUGUUAUUAUGGUUUAUAUUUUUAGAAAUUCUUUAGAAAUUAAUACAGAACUAGUAGCAAGUUGAGAAAUCUAAUGAAUGGUCGAGAUAUGAUCAUGUUUAUUGAAUUAAAUUGACAAUCAUCAUUUUGAUAAAUUAUUGUUAGGAUAUUUGAUUCAUCACAGGUGUAAGUAACUAAAUGUGCUAAAAAAAAAGUUAAUGAGUUGUGAGUGUUUGAUAUUCGUUUGUUGUAAUUCUUUUAAUAAUUGUUGUGGGAAAAAAAUUAUGGUAAAAAAAUUAUAAUUAUAAAAUAAAAAUUAAUAAUAUAUUAUAAAUAAAAUUUUUAAAUAAUAAUUUUAAUAAAAUAAUAAAUAUAUUAUGAAUUUUUCAUUAUAAAUUUUUAAGUUAAAAUAAUAAAUAUUUAUUAAAUAUUUUAAUAGCACAACUUUUAAAUUAUAACAGUACAAUGUAAAUACCAGAGGUCUUAAAAAAUAAAAUUACAGUCAAGUUUUAAAACUGUUAAUAAUGCUAUUCAUAAAGGCGCUCGUCGUGUAAACAACACAUGGGACCCAACCAAUAAAUGUUUAUGAUCCUCAACUUUCCUCCUCACCGUCCCUGCAAACAAUUCUGAUUUUCUUGUCUGAGAAAAAAACUGAGAAACAAUGGCGGCCGAACAAGAAGCUGUGAGCAAUAAGCGGGUGAUUCUAAGCAACUAUGUGACAGGUUUUCCAAAAGAAUCGGACAUGAAGAUAACAUGUGGAUCAAUAAAACUGGAGGUAGCAGACGGUUUAAAAGACACGGUGCUUUUGAAGAAUCUUUAUAUUUCUUGUGAUCCUUACAUGCGAGAGCGUAUGAGCAAGCUUGAUAGACCUUCUUUUGUUGAUUCAUUCCAUCCUGGUGAGGUUAGUUCAUCACGACCCAUCUCUUGAUUUUUUUUUUUUUUCAUUUGCUUCAAGUUUUGAUGAGUUUCUGAGGUCAUUUGUACGGUUUUGGAAUGUGAACACUAUUAGUGAUUUUGGGGCUGUAACUGUCAUUAAUGAUAUGUAGUAAUUCAAUCAGAAUUUGGAUUUAGUGCUGAUAUGAUCUCUGCUCAUUUUUUAAAAUCUUGUGUCCAGAUGCAUUUUUAUAAUCUUGUACGGUUGAGAUUGUAAGUAGAUUAAUCUACGUGCAGUAUUCUUGUCUAAUGACUACUAACCACAACCUUAUGAGACGAUCGAAACCAAGCUCAGAUCAAUAAUCCAAUUGAGAGAGGGUCCUAACUCAAGCUUAUCGUGUGUAGGAAUAUUUCGGUUAAAUUGUAAUUCUUUUAAUAAUUGUUGUGAAAAAAAAAAAGUUAUGAUAAAAAAAUUAAUAAUUAUAAAAUAAAAAUUAAUAAUAUAUAAUAAAUAAGAUUUUUAAAUAAUAAUUUUAAUAAAAAAUAAUAAAUACAUUAUCAGUUUUUCAUCGUUAAUUUUUAAGUCACAACCACAAAUAUUUACUAAACACUUUAACACCAUAAUUAACACCACAACUAUUGAAUUAUAACUGUACAAUCUAGACGCCAAGAGGCCUUAGUAUGAAAAAAAAAAAUUACAGUUAAGUUAAAAUUCAUCAUACAGAUGUGCCACUUUCAUACUAUACCGGGAUCCUCGGUAAUGAUUUUUGUUACACAAUAAGAUUUGCUUAUAGUAAUAUCAAUACAUAUGCUGCUUAAAUGCUUUCUGAUUUUUUGCCGGCCAUUGUCCAUUUUGCCAGGGAGUCUAUAAUUGAAGGAAUUUACUGAAGGAAUGCUGAUUGUUGGGAAUUUGAUUAUUCUAGGUAUGCCUGGUGUAACUGCAUACGCUGGUUUAUACGAAGUUUGCUUUCCGAAGAAAGGAGAGUAUGUCUAUGUAUCUGCAGCAUCUGGAGCUGUUGGUCAGCUUGUUGGACAGUUUGCAAAAUUAGCUCGUUGCUAUGUUGUUGGAAGUGCAGGAAGCAAAGAAAAUAUAGCACCGUGCCUUCUAGCAGAAUUUUACUUGCUUUAUGUUCCAACUAAGCAUCCAUAUUUGAUCAUGAUAAUUAGCAAGGUCAAUAAUUUUUUUUUGACUAUUUUUUCAACGUAAGGUCGAUUUGUUGAAGAACAAGUUUGAACGAUGCUUUUAACUACAAGGAAGAGCCUGAUUUGGAUGCAGCACUCAAAAGGUCAGCUGCAACAAACGUUUCAACUCUAAUAUUUCAUUUUAAUAUUACAGAGCUUUGGUUGAAGUGUGUGAGUUGAUCCCAGAAACGUAACUUCAUCAGUGUCUCUGUUUUCAAAAAACAGGACAAAUAGAAAUCUGAUUUUGCUUUAAAAUUUCCCAGAUGCUUCCCUCAAGGAAUCGACAUAUAUUUCGAAAAUGUUGGGGGAAAGAUGCUGGACGCAGUGCUACUCAACAUGAGGCUCCGGGCCGCAUUGCAGUAAGCAGUAUGAUCUCACAGUAUAACCUGGAAAAACCCGAAGGCGUUCACAACUUAGAGCAACUGAUCGGGAAACGGAUUCGCCUGGAAGGAUUUCUAGCUGGUGAUUACUAUCACCUCUAUCUGAAAUUCUUGGAACUGGUCAUUCCUCCAAUCAGAGAAGGAAAGAUGCUGUAUGUGGAAGACAUGGCCGAAGGACUCGAGAAAAUUUCUCGUAACUGCUACACAUUAAACGCGUUUCACAUUUCCACUCUCUUUCUAUAAAUAAAUACGCACAUAAAAUUUCUCACCAUCCAAAAACAAAAUCUACAUAAAAAAUGGCGGGUGAAGAAGCAGUGAGCAACAAGCAGGUGAUUCUGAGCAACUACGUGACAGGGUUUCCCAAGGAAUCAGACAUGAAGAUAAUAACAGGCUCAAUAAACCUUAAGGUGCCAGAGGGUUCAAAAGACACAAUGCUUUUGAAGAAUCUUUAUCUUUCUUGUGAUCCUUACAUGAGAGGACGUAUGAGCGAGCUUGAUAAGCCUUCGUUUGUUGCCUCAUUCGAGUCUGGCGAGGUCAGUUACUUCAAUUCCCAUCUCUUGGUUUCAUAAUCUUUUAUGGUUUUAGAAGGUGUUUUAGGGAAACAUUGUGGUUUUGGUUAGUGGGCAUGAGUCUUUGAAGAGAUUAUAAUGUGUAGGACUAUGCAUGCAAUAAUAAGCAUAGGGGAUCUUGUUAGGAGAAGAUUCUCUUAGCAAAAUAAAAACUUUUAUCUUAUCAAAACAUAUGCAGGGAACUUAGUUAUGAUGUCAUGUUAGCAUUAUCUCUGAGGAUUUGAUUUCUUGAUGGGGAAAGGGGAAUUUAAGGUUACAUUAUUCAGCAAUGUUUUUUUUUUAAAAAAUUAUGUUCAAAUUAUGCAGCCUUUAAGCGGAUAUGGAGUGUCCAAAGUGUUGGAUUCCACGCCUCCAAAUUAUAAGAAAGAUGACUUGGGUGGCGUUUGUUUUUUAACUUAAUGACUUAAAGUGACUUAACUUAAUUAAUUAAGUUAAUUAGAGAUGUUUGUUUUUAUAACUUAAUGUGACUUUUUAAAUAAUUUUGACUUAAUAAAAUAAGCCAAUUUUAUUUACUUUUUACUUAAUAGAGACAUCUGAAUUAAGUCAAGUACUUUCUAAUGUCAAAAAUAUACAUGCUUUAUAAUUUAUUUUUCAUGUCUAUCCCAAAACUCACCCAUAGACAUUUACCCCACAUAAUAAUCUCAUCAUUAUUUUUUUAGCCGUCAUGAAAUCCCUCCUCACUUUGGUAUCAACUCCUCAACUAUUGAAGAUCAAAAUUACAUGCGACAACUUCGAGAUGAAUGGCAAAUCAACUGUUUCAAGCAUCUUAUUCGUUUUUUUUCUUUUUUAUAUUAUAUACGAUAAAAUUUGAAAUUUAUGGUAUUUUAUAUAUUAAAAUUCCAAAAUCAUUAUAUAUUCACUUGAAUAUAGUUUUACUUAUAAAUGUUAAAAUAUUGUGAUAUUUAAUAUAUUAUUUAUUUGACAUUCAAAUUUAAUAAGGAUACAAAUGUAAAAGUACAUAUUUUUCAGUUUUUUAAGUUGAAAAAAGCAAACAACUUAAUAAUUAUUUUUCGAGAUUCAGACGAAAAAACAAACAUAUUAUUCAGAUUCAGACAUUCAGAUCUAUUCAGAAUUUAGACUAAUUCAGGUCUAUUCAGAUUUCAGAUAAAAAAACAAACGCCACCUUGGUCCGGGGCUUAACCAGUUGGGAGGAGUUCAGUCUCAUCCAAUCACCACAACUUCUGAUUAAAAUUCUGGAUACAAGUGUGCCUCUGCCAUAAUUAAUUGACAGGUUGCUAUGUUGUUGGAAGUGCCGGAAGCAAAGAAAAGGUGAGUUUGCACCCUUAACCCUUACGCUCUAAAUAAAAACAUAACACCUUCUGAAAGAAUUGUGCAUAGAGAAUUUUGCAUGUCACAUUAUUUGUGUUCUAACUAAUCAUGGAUAUUUGAUCAUUAGUCUAACUAAAACUGACAUAUUACCACCUAGUUGACUGGUCUUUGAGAAAUGUUAGUUGAUAUAUGCUUGAAAUCAUACUUGUUUUAUUAGAUGAUUAUAUUAACCUGCUUCUUUUUCUUUGUGCUGUUUCUCGUUUGAUUACAUUUUCAACAUUAGGUCGAUCUAUUGAAGCACAAGUUUGGGUUUGAUGAUGCCUUUAACUAUAAGGAAGAGCCUGACUUGGAUGCAGCUCUUAAUAGGUUAGCACGAAUGAAUGCUUUAACCAUUUUUCUCACUUCAUUAUUACAAUGCGCUGAUUGAAGUAAUCAGUGUUGGCUCUGAAAAUGUAACGUAUACUUCUCUGUUUUCAUAAAACAGGACAAACAGUGAUCAGUGAUCUCAUUCGUUACAUUGAUAUUUUCUACCAUUGCCAUACAUAGUAUAAACUAGGAAUUCAGUUGCUUAAUAGAUAUUCAUUUCAGAGGGAAAUUUUCACUUGCAGCUAACAGAAUCAUGUUUGUGAUGUAUGUUUAUUUGGGAAAUGAAAGGAUUUGUUGCAUUAUUUUAUUCCAAGUUUGCUGAAAUCAUAUUUGUUUUCCCAGGUGCUUUCCUGAAGUUAUCGACAUCUAUUUCGAAAAUUUUGGAGGUAAGAUGCUUGAUGCAGUGCUACUCAACAUGAGAAUUUGUGGCCGCAUCGCUGUAUGCGGAAUGAUCUCACAGUACAACUUUGAGAAGCCUGAAGGUGUACACAACUUGAUGCAAGUAGUUGGAAAACGAAUUCGCAUGGAAGGAUUUCUUGCCAGUGAUUUCUACCACCAAUAUCCAAAAUUCUUGGAACUGGUUAUGCCGGCAAUCAAAGAAGGAAAGUUAGUAUAUGUCGAGGACAUAGCUGAAGGCCUCGAGAAAGCUCCAUCAGCCCUAGUUGGGAUAUUCACAGGUCAAAAUGUUAAAAAACAACUGGUUGUAGUUGCUCGGGAAUGAUAUGAUUACUAUAUGCUUUAAAAAGUGGACUUUGCCAUGCACUUUAAAAGCUUAGUGAAGAUGCCUUUGUCUUAUUUUUGAUACAUGUUAUGUUUGUUUGAUCAAGUUGUACUCAGCUAUAAAUCAAAGAUUCAGAACAUGUGUAUGAUACUGGUUUCUAAAUCAAUGAACGCGUUGAAAUGUUAGUGUUUUCACAGGAGAAUGCAAUUUAAUUCAUCAACAAUGUCCCAACAAGACCCUCAGAGCUGUAGCUUGUAAAGUUAAUUACGAUAUUUUUUUGUAAAGUAAAUUACCAUAUUUUUUUCUUUCCAAUAUAUUGCUUAUUUCAUAGAAAGUUUACAUUAAAGUCUCAUGUUUCUUUGAAAGGUAAGCAAGUGUGAACGUUUCAAUCUAGAGCUGGAAAAUGCAUUUCCGGGCAACUUACUUGAUACAUGAAGUUUUCAUCUCUGACCUUGAUGUUUCCCAUAGUUGCAUUCAUUUCAGCUGAUCUAUUUAAUUUUGUUUUCGAAGGAGUGACACAAAAUCUCCUUUGUUAAGGGGAGAAUUUAGAGUGGCUUUGACUGUUAGCAAAUAGCCUAAUGUAAGACUUAACCAACUUCCUGCCCUGUUGUAUGCUUAUGAAUUUUGAUAGAGCUAAGAGUUUGCAGAAGCUACUGUAUUAUUUGUCGUUAGAGGCUGUAAAAAUCAAACACAUUUAAAUUUCAAUGAAAAUUUACUGGAAGUAAAUUUCCUAUGAUCCCACAGGUGACUAAUUAAUGAGAACUUGACAAUGACAAAAGAAAGUCUAUGAACUUUGCAGGCUGGCAUGCCAAUAUUGACUGGGUGGCACCAUCCACCAUCUGCAAGUGAAUAUCAUUGUUGUUUAAUCAACAAGGUGGAGUCCACUGGGACCACACCACAUCGUCAGCCUUAUCUCUAUUCCUCAAUUUUCAGUAUUCCAUACAUCAAACCAAUUUCAGUUUUGUUAUCAAUUAUAAUUUUAUUGUUGGUGACGAUUCUGAUUCCUUUCUGACAAAAGGGAACCAUGGCUGCUGCUGGAGAGAUCUUACUCAACGCCUUCUUUCAGGUACUGUUCGACAGGUUGGCUUCUCGUAAUUUGCUCAGCUUUGUGCGUCAACUCCAAGGCGGGGUUGAUUCGGAGCUCAAAAAGUGGGAGAAAAAGCUGAAGAUGAUUCGGGCUGUGCUCUGCGAUGCAGAGGAGAAGCAACUGACUGACGAGGCUGUGAAGAUGUGGCUGGACGAACUCCAAGACUUGGCUUAUGACGCUGAGGACACUCUUGAUGAGUUUGCUACUCAAGCUUUGGAAAGCAAGUUGAUGGCGCAAAAUCACGAUAGUUCUGGCCAGGUUCUCAGUUUCAUCCCGGCUGGUUUGAAUCCGAAUGCUAUUAUGUUCAAUUAUAGCAUGGGGUCCAAGAUGAAAGAUAUUACUAGCCGGCUGGAGCAACUCUGCCAAGAAAGAAUUGAACUUGGACUGCAACGGAUUACCGGAGAGGCAUCAUCAACUGCUGCUGCUGCACACCAGAGGCCACCCAGUUCGAGUGUCCCAACAGAACGUGAAGUAUUUGGAAGAGAAAAAGAUAAGGCCAAAAUUCUUGAUAUGUUAUUAGCCGAUACCAUAAGUGAUCAUGCUAACUUUGUUGUAAUACCCAUUGUUGGCAUGGGUGGGAUAGGAAAAACAACUCUCGCUCGGGAGGUUUACAAUGACAAAGCCGUUGGAGGUUCCAAGUUUGAUGUAAAAGCAUGGGUUUGUGUAUCUGAUGUCUUUGAUGUUUUGGGCAUCUCAAAGGCACUUCUCGAGUCAAUCACCCGCAGGCCUUGUCUUCUAAACAGUUUAAAUGAAGUGCAGGUUGAAUUGAAAGUAGCUGUGGAUAAGAAAAGAUUCUUGCUGGUCUUAGAUGAUGUUUGGAACGAGGACUACAGCUUGUGGGUAGACUUAAAAGCUCCGUUCCUGGGUGCUGCACCAAACAGUAAGAUGAUCGUCACCACACGCAAUUCAAAUGUUGCAUCAACAAUGGGACCAAUUGAACAUUACAAUCUCAAGAGUCUGUCAGAUGAUGAUUGCUGGUCCAUUUUCAUAAAGCAUGCAUUUGAAUCUAGAGAUCUUAACGCACAUCAAAUUUCAGAAUCAUUCCGCAAGAAAGUUGUUGCCAAGUGUGGAGGCUUGGCCCUGGCAGCAAAAACACUCGGAGGCCUUCUGCGUACGACGAGGCAUGAUGCGUGGGAUGAUAUAUUAGAGAGCAAAAUAUGGGAUUUACCUCGACAAAGUGGGGUUCUCCCAGUAUUAAGAUUGAGUUACCAUCAUCUUCCUUCUCAUUUGAAAAGAUGUUUUGCUUUUUGUGCCAUCUUUCCAAAAGAUUAUGAAUUCACUGAGAAGGAGCUGACUUUCUUAUGGAUGGCUGGAGGUAUUAUUCGACAGUCAAGAAACAAUGAGCAGCUGGAAGAUUUGGGCAGCAAGUGCUUUGGUGAUCUAGUGUCGAGGUCAAUUUUUCAGCAAACAGCAAGCUCUGAUAGUUCUAAAUUUGUAAUGCAUGACCUUAUUCAUGAUCUUGCUGAAUUGGUCUCUGGAGAAACCAUAUUCAGGUUAGAGGAGGCCAAUACUCUGUCAAGAAGAUUUGAAAGGGUUCGCCAUUCUUCCUAUGCUUGUGGUGGAUGUGAUGGUAAAAAUAUGUUCGUGGUUUUCAAUGAAAUUGAACAUCUACGAACAUUCUUGCCAUUACGCUUACGCAUAAGAGGUGGCUCUAAUACUAGUUACAUAACUCGUACGGUUCUAUCUGAUUUGCUGCCGAAGUUCAAAAUGUUGAGAAUGCUAUCUUUACAAGGAUACCGUAUUGGUGAGUUACCAAUUCCAUUUGAAGAUUUGAGACUACUAAGGUUCCUCAACCUUGCUGACACUGACAUAAGAAGUUUACCUGAGUCAACAUGCAAAUUGCUGAACUUGGAAAUUUUGAUAUUAAGAAAUUGUUCCUAUUUGAUAAAGCUUCCGCAGAAAAUGAGGAAUUUGAUCAAUUUACAUCACCUCGAUAUAAGAGGUGCGAAGUUGCUGAAGGAGAUGCCAUUCGGAAUGAAAGAGUUGAAGAAGCUUCAAACAUUGUCCAAUUUCAUCGUGGGCAAGGGCGAAACUGCAUCUGGUUUGGAAGAUUUAAAAUGUUUAAACUUUCUUGGUAAUGAACUUUGCAUUGCUGGAUUAGAGAAUGUGAAUAAUCCACAGAAUGCAAGAAGAGCCGCAUUAUGCGAGAAGCUCAAUCUUGAAGCAUUGACUCUAGAAUGGGGGUCUCAAUCUGACAGUCCUCGAGAUGCAGUACCAGAAGAGAAUGUACUUGACACUCUACAGCCGCAUAAACGUAUAAAAGAGCUGGCAAUCAGACACUAUGGUGGUGCAAGAUUUCCACUUUGGAUCGGAGAUCCUUCAUUCUACGAGAUGAAGGUCCUUAAAUUGGAGAACUGUGACAAUUGUGUAUCUUUGCCGUCGCUUGGCCUGAUGAGUUCACUUAAGCACCUUGCUGUUAAAGGGCUGAAGAAACUAAAAAGCAUAGAGUCUGAGGUUUAUGGGGAGGGUUUCUCAAUGCCUUUUCCGUCACUGGAGAUUCUAAGUUUCGAGAAUUUGCCAGAAUGGGAGCAUUGGGACACCGAGAUCAAAGGAAAUGCGCCUGUUGAUUUAUUUCCUCGUCUCCAAGAACUUUCCAUUGCAGAAUGUCCCAAACUCUCUGGACAACUGCCUGAGCUCCUGCCUUCCUUGAAGACACUUGUUGUUAGUAAAUGUGAAAAGUUGGUAGUUCCAUUGUCUUGCUAUCCAAUGCUUUGCAGAUUAGAAGUUGAUGAGUGCAAAGAACUAGUCUGCCGGACUCCGAUUGAUUUUAAGUUGAUAAAGUCCAUGACUAUUUCAAAUAGUUCAUUAGACAUGAAUGGACGCAAGGGGAUGUUAUACGAUGGUCCAGCUGGCUCUUCACUGCCAAACCCCAUGACUACUACAAAUGUUUUAGAGUUUGGAAAAUUAUUGAAGCCUGGAUUUCAGAUAUUCGAAACUUUGGUAAUUGGCAAUUCUGAACAGCUCAAGUUAUGGAGGCAGCAUGGGGAUUUUCCGAAAAAAUACAUGGUCACUGACCAUGGGUUCAAGAAACCAGUACGAGGGCUGAAUAUGCUCGCUUCCCCUGAAGAGGUAACAAUUGAAGAAAGUUGCGUACGUCUUGUUUUGAUUCCAGAGAUCAAUUUCCUUCUCAGAAAUCUGCGCUCUCUUAUAAUUAACAACAGCACUGCUUUCAAAUCCUUACCCGAGGAAAUGAUGGAAAACAAUUCACAACUCGAAAGAUUGUAUAUCAGAGAUUGCGACUCUCUAAUAUUCAUCGCAAGACGGAGGCUACCAGCAUCUCUUAAAAGGUUUGAGAUAGGAAAUUGUGAGAAAUUGCAACGUCUGUUCGAUGAUGAAGAGGAUGCUUCUUCUUCUUCUUCUCCUUCAUCCUCGUCUUCCCCAGUGAUGCUGCAACACCUGAGUAUAGAGAACUGCCCAGAGCUCACCAGUUUAUCAUCGGGUGUCCAAUUCCUUGAGGCGCUUGAAGACCUCGUGAUACAGCAGUGUCGAAAGCUGGAGUCAAUACCGGAUGGCCUGCCCAAUCUUAAAUGUUUACAGAGCAUUAAUAUACGGGAAUGUCCAAGUCUUGUUUCCUUAACAGAAAGAGGGCUUCCCAACACCAUUUCAUUUGUUUACAUUUGCAGAUGUGACAAGCUCGAAGCCUUGCCCAAUGAUUUGCACAAACUCAGCUCUCUUCGAGAAUUAUUCAUACAGCUCUGUCCAAAUCUUGUAUCGUUUCCAGAAGAAGGUUUUCCUACCAAUCUAACAACACUUGUAAUUGGAGAUUUCAAAAUGUAUAAGACACUCGUCCAGUGGGGGUUGCACAGGCUUACCUCUCUUAAACGCCUCUGGAUUGCUGUACGUGAUGAUGAAGCAGAGUGUUUUCCAGACGAGGAGAUAGGAAUGACGCUGCCCACCUCUCUCACUGAUCUGCACCUUUUUGAUUUCGAAAAAUUGAUAUCUCUGUCUGCGACGGGUUUUCAGAGUCUCACCUCUCUUCAGAGUUUGUGGAUCGGGAAUUGCCCGAAUCUCACAUCAUUUCCAGAGGUGGGCCUUCCAUCCUCACUUUUGGGCUUAGACAUUAGAUAUUGUCCAAAGCUUAAAACAGCGUGCAAAAGAGAUGAAGGAAAAGAGUGGUCCAAAAUUGCUCACAUCCCUCACGUUGAGAUAGACGGUAAAUUCAUAUACGAUCCAGAAGCAGAGGAGUAGGUUCUACUAUUAAGGUCAGUUGAUUUGUAUUAUCCGCUAUAACAAGCUCCUCCUUUUUUAUUUUUUUUAAAAAUAAUAAUUUUGCAGUCACUCACGUGAUUCCGUUUUCACAAGUCAGAUUGUAUGUUGAGGCUAUUUGCCUUUUAAUCGCAGAUUAAAUUAUAACACUUAUCUUAAAAUUUAAUACCAUACACAGAUAGACGAUUUUUUAAUCCAAAGUUUUUUUUAUUCACUUCAGUUAGCAUUUUUUUUUUCCCCAAAUCAUGCAAGCCGAGAGUUUCAAUCAAGAAUUGGAGGAUGUGAAUGGGAUUUUUGUGAAAGAGUAACAUAAUGGAUGAACGAACAUUUCAUAUGUGAUCUCAAAGUCAACAGAAUUUUAUUCACUCGUUGACUUUUCAACUGCUGUGGUUAUUUAUGGGUGAAAGAUAAGGGCAAUUACAAAAAAUUUGCAAAAUUUGUCAAUUUCUUAGAUGGUAGAAAUUGGAGUAUAAUAUUUUGGAGCAAGCAUACUUGAAAUUUCUGUCUUCAAUAUUUUGAUGCUUUCUUAUCCCAUGCACAAAAGUACUAGAAAAAACUAAUAACAACUAACCGAAAAUCCCAGGCGUCAUAUUCCUUUUUACCGCGUUUUAAAAUGCACAACAAUGAUAUUCUUACAAAUUUGCAAAAUUUGUCAAUUUCUUAGAUUUCAGAUAUUUUAAUGCUUUUUUUAAUUUUUGAUCUAGUAAAAAUACAUAGCCUUCACCGGCAGGAUUCUAGUCUUGGCUUUCACCUCUCUAACUCAUCUGUUCCCAUUGGGAUUCCAGAAGCUAGAAAAAUGUGUAGUUUUCAGAUAAGGAGGCUUGUCAGUUCUCUAGUAAGAAUCCAAUGAUUUGCUUUUGAACGUCCAUCUAAUUUGUGGAUCCUUGCAUCAGAAUUUGAUCAAUCCAAAAGGAAUUGCUUUUAGACAGAAGAAGAAUAGCAGCACCUAGCCUACCCGCAAACCUGAAACUAUUAGAUUGAGGUAAAAAAAUCAUUGACCCUCACAUGUUAACUUCUUCUAGUUACUUUCGUUGGGAAAAAAAAAAACAUUUAAGGAAUUUGCAAUUUGUUGUUAGUUAUGGUAUCUGAUGUUCUUUUCUGCUUUAGCAUUUGUAGAAUCUACUGUAUUAUGUGUUGGCAGUUGCCGUAUCUGAGGUAACUUGCCUUUAUUUGUUUGCUUCUGACUUAAGGACACCAACAUUUGCCAGAGAUUUAGAGAAUCAUCUCAAAACACUUAGCAAACUUGACAAACUUCAAGAUGCACUUGCCCCCACGCCUUAUUCUCAACAACGCAAAACUUGUGAGUACACCUAUGCCUGCAAUUAUUGUGAAGUGUUCGCAAUUCUGAUGCAGAGAAAUGGUUUCUUGAUGCAAAGUAUUAAACUGUUAAGAUUUAUCCUGCAGGCUUGUUAGAUGCUGGAUACGCGAAAAGCCAACAACAUCAAGAACUGCAACUCCAAGACCAGCUUUGCGUUAAUUCAGUCAGCUGUAAUAAUGAUGCAAAUGACACUAUAUCAAGCUGGACUUAGAGACUAGUCAGAUAAAUCAUCCAUUUCAUCAACGGUUAAUGUCAUGAUGGUGGCUAUCAGAGGAAACAAAAGAUGUGUCGGAAUCUAUACAAACAUUGAGAAGCAUGAGAGGAGCUUUGAUUUUGAGUAGGGUCAAUGAACUCAUAUUGGUAAGUGGUAAUUAAAGAAACUUUGUAAGCUUAGUAGAGUUUCAGUAUUUUCUGUUUGGAGUAUAGUUGAUAAGUUGACUCUGUUUAAGAAGCCCGAUUAUAGUAGCUGACUGUAUUAACCUUUUUUUUUUUUUUUUUGGGUCUGCUGUUGUUUUUGGUUUCGAUUAUUUUUUCAACAUUGGGUUGAUCUGUUGAAGAACAAGCUUGGGUUUGAUUAUGCUUUAACUACAAGGAAGAGCCAGACUUGGAUGCAGGCGUUAAGCUUUUAAUGGGUAAGAACAAAUGAAUGCUUUAACUAUGUUUCUCACUUAUUAAAAUGCACGGAUUGAAGGCAUCUGGGUUGAUCCUGACAAUGUGAUGGAAAUACUUCUCUGUUUUCAUAUAACAGGACAAAUAGAGAUCUCUGAUCAUGCCUGAAUUUUUGUUGCAUUGAAAUUUCUACCAUUAUCAAACAUAGAAUGAACUAGGGAUACAUUAGCUUAAGACUAAAUUUUGAGAAGGAAGUUUGUACUUGCAGCCUAUAAAAUCAUGUCCAUGUUGUACGUUUCUUUGGGAAAUGAAAGAUUCUGUGUGUUCUUUUAUUUCAAGUUCACUGAAAUCACAUUUGUUUUCUCAGCUGCUUUCCAGAAGGUAACAACAUCAAUUUCAAAAAUGCUGGGGCAAGAUGUAUCAUGCAGUGCGACUCAACUUGAGAAUUCCUGGCCACAUUACCCGUAUGUCUAAUGAUCGCACAGUACAACCUUGAGAAGCUUGUAAUGAGUACACAACUGGGUGCAAGUAGUUUUGAAAUGAAUUUGCCUCAAAUGAUUUCUUGCCGGUGAUUAAUAUAACCUCUAUUCCAAAAUUCUUGGAACUGGUCAUACUAGCAAUGAAGGAUUGCAUACAUUGAAGACAUAGCUGAAGGCCUUGCGAGAGCUCUGUCAGCCCUUGUACCGGAAAACAGCUGGUCGUAGUCGCUUGUGAAUGAUAUGAUUAAUAGAUACUGCAAAAAUGAAUUGUGCCAUACAUUUUCAGCGCUCUGUGAAGAUGUCUUGGUCAUUUGUUUGAUGCUUGUUUGAUUUAUGUUGUAUUCAGCCAUAAAUCAGAGAUUCAGAACUUGGGUAUGUUUCUGGUUUCCAAAUCAAAAAAUUGCCUUGUGAUGUUAGUGUUCACUGUUUUCACAGGAGAUCAGGUUCCUUGUUAAUGAAUCAAGAAGAAGGCAAGCGCAUCCAUGUCCAAGUUCAAAUGUGUCUCCUCUAUUUUCUAUUACCCACUCAUUUAUUUUGAUUUCUUCAUUGUAAUUGAAUUAGUUUUUUAUUCCAAAUUAGUCAAAACCUCGUAGAGUCAUUAAGUUCUUUUAGCAUUUAAAGACAGAACUACGAACCAAAUGAUUUAAGUUCUUCGUUGUAAUUGAAUUUGCUUUCCCAUCUUUAAAGAUAUUAUGUUCUUUUUCACUUUUUCGAUUUGGUUAGUGGUGAUUUCUUAAAGACUCAAUCCAUUUGCGUUAAUACAUUUUUCUUUUGCCUUGAUUUCUGUUUCUUGGGGAGUUUAUACAUAUUCUUAUUUUAUGCUACACAUGCCAUAUACAGAUUCUUAUUUUAUGCUUCACAUGCCACAUGAAAGGUCAAAGCCUUGUGUGUGAUUAGAAUUUACUGGCAUCAUAGUAACUUUAAACCAUUGUGACGUUUUAGUAAUAACAGUCUGAGCUCUCCCUGAAGGAUUCAAAGCAUUUUAUUUUAUAUUAUACUCCUUUAUAUGGUUUGGCUGGUCUCUUUUAAGGCAAUUCCUGUUUAAAGUAAUCAAAAUUUUGAUUUCGAAGUGUCUUUCAACACUACCGCUAGUUCUUUAAGAAAAGUAAAUCGAUUUUGAGUCUUCUGUAUCAUCUGAUUGAAAUACAUGAAAGCACUCUUAGCUGCAAAAGUACACUUGGAGUUAUAAUAGCAUUCUGAAAUCUCCUUGAAGGAUUCAAAAGCUCUUUAUUUGCUAGUCUUUGCUUGCAAUAAACUCCUUUAAUAUACAUUGGUUGAUCUUCUUUAAAGCAAUUACCAUAAGUUCUUUAAAUAAUAAAACGAUUUUGAGUCUUCUGUAUCAUCUUGUUGAAAUACAUGAAAGCACUCUUGGCUGCAAAAAUGCACUUGGGGUUAUAUAUAAAGUCUUCAACAGAAUUUUAUUUCCCCCUUUAUCCUCAUGGUGGUUUUUUUAGUUGUUUUUUAAGAAAUCGCUUGAAGGUUCUCUUUAAAAAUAAUUUUAACAUAAGCAUUCUUUAGAAGCACUUUAGAUGUCUGGCAUUUAGAAAAUUUUGUUCCUGUGUUCACAUAAUAUAAUAUAUAUAUAGAAAGCUGACUGUAGAAUAGAGGAGAACGAGUUGGUGUUGGUCUGAACUCUGAUCUUUGAACCUCAUGUGACUCCACUACUUUUUACUUGUUCUGUACAAGGUCUUUUAGCUUUUCAAAAAGUUUUAGCUUUAUGGAUAAAAUACUGUUAAUUGUAAUCUAUAAAUAAUGAAAGGAAUUAAUAAAAUAUUAGGUAAAUUUUAUUUUCUAAAGUGUUAUGAGUUCUAAAACGGCUGUAUGUAUAUAAAUUUAUUUACACAUAUAUUUAUAAAUAUGAUUAUAUAAUAAUAUUUUAUGUGUACAUAUCAUAAUUGAUAACUAAAAUAAAUAUUUUUAUUUUAUUAAUGGUUUUUUCGUCUCAAUGUAGUUGGUAAUAAUAAUCUCUUUAGAUGUAACGAUUUUAUUUCCUAACUGAAUAAGGAAAAUUUUAGAUUUUUAUAAUAAAUGUUAAAUAUAUUUAGAAUUACAUUAAGUAUGAAAUAAUCCUCAAAAUUAGAUUUUGAAAAGUUAUUCUUUUCUUGCUUUUAAAAAUAUGUCAUAUGAUGAGAUGAUUUUACUAAAAGUGAUUUUUUUAAAAAAAAUUACUAAACAUCAAAAUUAACUCUUAACUUUUUAAAAUCAUUUCUAAUCUUCUCAUCCUAAGUUCUUUAUUGUUUUGUACAAAAUCCAAGGUUUUGACUUUUAUAAAAUGCCCACUCAAAAAUAAAUUAUUUUCUAAUUAAGAUUUGUUGUUAAUGUAUAACUCGAAGUAAUAUUAGAUAUUUGUAAUUUUAUUUCAAAAAUUUUAUUCAAAUGAUAUGGCAAGCAAUGAACAAUAGUUGAUAGCAAUUUGUUUUUUUUUUUAACAAUGUUCAAAUCAAUCAGUUGCAUUAUCUCACCAUUUUUAUGAUGUCAUGUUAUUUUAAAUGAUUUUUUUAAUUUUUAUAUAAAGCAUACGACGUGUUAACAUCAUUUGCAUAACUUGACCUUUUUUUUUUCCUACAAAUAGUAAGUCAAAUUUACUCACCCUAUUUGUACCUAAAAUCUACCUAAAACUCAUGCAUCACUGUAAAGCAAAUCCAAAGAUUGCGGUACGUUUUUCUUGGUAAGAAAUCAAUAAUUAGGUCAAGUACCGCUACUAAGCGUGCUCAAUUAAUUCUAAAAUACGGUGAUCAAACUCAUACUUCACGCAAGAGGAUAAGGGCUAAACCUCAAUUAGGCAUUAUUCAUCCAAAAUUCAUUGACUGGGCAUUCUUUGCAAGUGGUAGCAUGGGACAGCUAAGAUAAUUAGCAAAUGAUAUGGACCAUACGCACCCGUAUGUUUGUGACAUGUGAAUCUUGGCAUUAAAGGAAAGGUAAUGUGUUAAAAUUUAAUAGAGCCCAACUCUUCAUUGAAUGAUUAUCAGAUCCAACGAGCAUCCUUUGAUGGGAUUAUUUUAAGUCAAUUAUUGGUGGAUUGGGGCCCACUUGACUCUACCAAAUCGGGCUCCACCAUAUCACCUAUUAACGACCACCUGUCCUUAUCAUAAAUAGCAAAUGUCACUUGUUUUAUUUUGUAUUUUACCAAAAGCAAAGUCACUACGAGCACUAAUGAAAGUGACCCCAAUUUUGGGGGUCAUGAACUUGGGAUUAUUAUGGACACAAGAGACAAGCGCAAUGUUUCUCAUUUCUCACUAGAUAAGAUUUAAGUUAUCAACCCAAUAUUAAUAAAUUCUGCUUGAAAAGUAAAGUUUGAAGCUUCAUUUUGCGAAUAUUCAAUGGUUAACAUUUAAGGGUGCGUUUGGGAUUGAGGUUGGGCAGCUGUAGCUUAAAAGCUACAGUACUAAAGUGUUUGGUAAACACUAGCUACUGUAGCUUUUAAGCUAUGUUGAUAUAAUUUUUCACUUGUAUAAUAUAAAAUUUAUUAUAUCUUUAAUAAUUUUGAUAAAAUUAUUAUUUAAAAUUUAUAUUUACUAUAUAUUAUUAACUUUUAUUUCAUAAUUACAGCUUUUUUUUCACAGCAGCUGUAGCUUAAAAGCUACAGCACCUCAAUCCCAAACACACCCUAAGUAAUUAACCUGAUAUUAAUCCAAUUAAACUUUUUAUGUAAUCCAAGUCAAACAUAUAUUGAUAAACCUAAAUUAAUCUAAUUGGACAUAUUAUUUCAACUUGAAAAGGUGAAUCUAUCAUUUUUCAAUUAAUUUUGAAUCAAGCUAUGUAAAAUAUAAGCUUAUUAAGGACAUAUUUGAAAAAUUCAAAUUGAAUUAUUUGACAAUUACAUUUCAACUAAGUUGUACUGCUAAUUAACUUCCUCAACUUAAAAUGUAUUUUUCUCAAUUAAUUCGUAACAAAGAAUGUUAGAUGUUUUGUUCGAAUAAUAACAUUCAACAUCCUUAUUCUUUAUGAUUAUUGCAUAAAAAAUAUAUUUUAUCCAUUUACGUCACAUAUGUUCCUAAAUUGUAUAAGAAAAUCACUAAAUUUACUCUUGUAAGUUACUAUAUCAAUGAACAUGAAAUUAACUAAUCAUUAAAGUCUCGGAAUGACAUCAUGAGGGGGAUUCAGUUACAUUUAUUGAUAGGAUUAUAUAUAUACCUUCUCAAAUAUUAGUAAGAGCAAUUAAACAGAUGCAGCAAUUAAAAAUAUGGAAUUACUUAUCUCGUCAAUAACUAACGAUAUUUUUUAUCUAUGCUCGAUAGGCGUCUGAGCUAUAUUAUAAAUUGUAAUAUUUGUAGAUUGUAACAAUUAUUAAAAAAAAAAAAAAAAGCUCCCUAAGACUAAAUGACAAAAGGACUGUUUUGAAAUAGAUAGAUAAAAUAUGCCCUUAUUUGAGAAAAGGUAAAACACUAGGGAUCUAAAUGUUAUUAUAAUCCCAUGCACAAAAAUACCAGAAAAAACUAAUAACAACUAACCGAAAAUCCCAGGCGUCAUAUUCCUUUUUACCGCGUUUUAAAAUGCAACAAUGAUAUCACUACUACAAAAAUGACAUUUACUGACACUUUGUUUCUGACACUUAGUAAAAAGUGUCAGAAAUGGUGUACAUUUGGACCAUUUUCCUCCUUUAACAAGUAUGUAUCAUAAAUCAUUGAUACUAAGGUGUCAGUAGCUUAAAACUCAGUGAUUAUUGAUACUAAAGCAUCAGUGAUAAAAAAAUAAUAGUAUUAAUUUUGUUUUAAUUUGAACUCGAACUCAAGAUCUCUAAACUUAAAAUUUGUAAGUUUAGAGUGCAAACCAUUGAUGCAAGUGUUUUUAAAUUUUCAAUUUGAUUAAUUUUUUUAUUUAAUUAAAUUUUAUACAAUUACUUUGUGGACAAUAAUAAUAAUAAUAAUAGUUUUGAGAAUAAUAUUUUUUAUUUUGCCACAUGUCAGCUUGUAAUUCGUUGUUAAUAAUAAUAAUUUUACUUGACCACGUGUCGACUUAUAGUUUGUUGUUUUAUUAAAUUACAAUGCGAACAACUACACUAUAUAAUUUUUCAAAGUAUAAAAUGAAAAUAAGAAACCCUAAAUCUAACCUAAUCAAACACACCACUUCUUAAGUUGCUGCCGCCGCUCCCCUGCUCCUUGACUUUCACUGCUGCCGGCCGCUGCUCCUCGACUUUCACUGCUGUCGGCUGUCGUUCCUUGACGUCACUGCCGCCUUUGCUCUGCUGUUGCCAAGCUUCAGCCACCGACGACUAGCUAGCCACCUUUCAGUACGUCGCUGCUACCACUUUUAUGCCGUCACAUCAACUUCAGCUCAGCCAGCCACCGUUCCUUUACCGCCGAGAUCAAGAACCAUUUCUUUCUCUUCUCUCUUUUGGUACAGGUAUGAAAAUAUUGCAGAGGAGUUAAUCUGUUAAUUACCUUUCUGUACGUCGCUGCUGUCAUUCGUGUACGUCAUUGCUGCUACUCAUCUUGGUCACUGCUGCCGCUCCUCUGCCGCCACGACAAGCUUCAGCCUUUUUGACAAAACAUUUCACUUGGAAUUAUAAGCAAACCCUUUUGAGACCAUAAAAAACUAAGCCAAUUUCUUUGGUUUCAAGGCCUUGUUUUUUCACUUUGAAAUCGGAUCAUACAAUGACAAGCCAAUUGAAAACUUCUGUUCAAGAUUUCAUUGUUAAAUUCAGCUUUAUUUUUAUUAUUUGUGUUCCUUUCAUUUUCUUUCCCUUUUUUUGAUUUUUAAUUCAAUUUGGGAUUUGACAGAUAUAUUUUUUAAUUUUUAUAAAAAUUUAUCUUAUUUGCAGGAUGCUAAGGGACAGGAUGUUGAUCUUAGCAUCUACAAGGGAAAGGUUCUUUUGAUUGUCAAUCUUGCAUCACAAUGGUGUGCCUCAGCUCCUUUCAUUUUUAAUUUUUUUUCCAUAAUGAUUUAUUGAUUAUUGUUGAUGCUUCCAUUUAAUUAAUGCUAAUACGUGUUAUCUAUCUAUCGGGAGUCUAAAUUUUAUAGAAUUAUAUCAUACUCGGAAGUAUGCAUGCUCCCAAUACAAAUAAGUGUUUAUAAGAGAGGAUUUCACCCAAAAUCUUUAAUUCUUGCAAAAUGCUAGUGGCUCCGUUUGCACAAGUUUAGUUUUCAUCCAUGUUCGUUCCUUUACCAUAGCGGUUCCUUUACCACUGAGGUCAGACACCAUUUCUUUCUCUUCUCUGUUUUGGCACAGGUAUGAAAAUACUACAGAGAAGUUUCUCUAUUAAUUACCUUUUAUGAAAAUAAUAUAUAUAUAUUAUUCACAUGUUUAAUUGAGAACAUCUAAUAAUAUAGUAAUAAUAUAGUGGGCAAACUAUAGGAAGGUUGUUAGUAGACAAUUCUAAUUUUAGCUUUACUUUGCAAAUGAAAGAUUAGAAAUAUUCCGUCGAACCCAUUUUACUAUAUUGGAGGUUUGGGCUAAUCUUGUAUAGAUUUUUGCUCAGAAGAAGGAUGGUUCUCCAAGGGCGGUGGGUUGGUUUUUCUAUAGACUAUUCCCCUAUUUUCCCAUUUUGCUUUUCUUUGAGGAAACCUGGUCCAUUUUUUUUGUGUUUUCUUUCUUCAAUCAAAUAUGUAUUUCUCAAUCUCCUCUCAAAAAAUACCUAUCUCAUUUUAUUAUAUGUUUAUGAAUUACUAAUUGUAUUUUGUUAGUAUUCCAUGUUCGAAGAAGAAUAUUAGAUUGAAGAAAGAAGAAUAUUAGAUUGAAGAAAGAAGAAGUUGUUCCUUUGCUAAUCGUUUGAAACCCAGGUUUGCACUGAAUCUGAUUUUUAUCUUUAACUUUUUUACUUGACCCAUACUUGAAUCAAAUUUUUGCUCCACUUUCCUUUCUUUCGUCAAUUUAAUUAUCAAUCCACUUCAAACCUAAAAAGAUUUAGUAAUUGGGAAACCCUUUUUUUUUUAAAGAAUUGCAAAGUACUGUAAUUGGAAACUGGGUUCAUGUCUUAAAAAGUAACCUGAUUUGUAAUGUUUGGCUUAUAGUGGCCUUCUAUUUCUGUUUUUCAUCUCGGCUUGGUUAAUUUCUUUACUAGUCGUUUAAAUUUUGUUAAUUUUUAUUUUUCCUCUUUAAGCUCAUUAAAUAUCUUUUUUUUUUCAAUUUAUGGCUUUCGGUCCAACUGAUCAUCGUUGAAUGUGGGCACUAUAAAUGUUAUAGUGCUUGUUAACUUAAUGUAUUUGAUCAUAUAUUAUAGUAUUGUUUACUUUAAAUUUAGACAAUGAAAUAGAUUACAAAAAAAAUAACUUAUGCUUGUCAAGUUGUAGACACCAUCGUUCAUGUCAUCAUUACUGAAUAUUGAUGUACUUAUUAAGUGUUCUCUUUAAUACUUGAUAGAAUACUUUUGGUGAAGCAAUUUUGGUAUCAUGAUUGCAGGCUGUAAUUAACUUGGGAACGUGUAGAUUCUACAAUUUCUUUUUCUGAUUCCUUAACUUGCUUCUUUUAAUCCUACUCUUCUAUGUUGAAGUAAUUUAUGAAUAUUUUUGCUUCAAAAUAACUAAGAUAUAUUUUUCACAGUAUACUAAUUGAUUUUAUGCAUUUGUAGGUGGGAAAAAAAUGAAGCCGUGGAUGGAUAUUGAGUGACCUUGUGCUUUUUUUUUUUUUUUUUUGGGUUGGAAACUUAAUUGAGUAGUAGUUAGCACUUGUUGUUUAGAGAUUGUUGAAAAUUUAAUUUGAUACUUAUGUUAAGUCUUUUACAUAUAGUGAUGUAGUUGAAUUGUGUGAAUUUAUGUGAUGUAUUUGAGAUGUUUAUUAUAUGAAUUGUGUUGCAAGAUAUUUAAUAAUAAAUAUAUUUCGUGUUUUCUUUUGGUUGUACAACAAACACGAAAAAUAUAAUUAAAAUAAAAAUAUACUAUUAACCAAAAGCAGUAUAACAUUACUAAAUACUGACACUACAUAUUUAAAAUAACAAUAAGAAUUUUUUAUAUUAUCGAGUCAGUUUCUGAUACUAUAGUCACAUAAAUUACUGACAUGUAAAUAGUAUCAUUAAAUACCAACAUCAUCGUGUCAUUAUUUUAGUGAUACUAUAGUGAAACAAAUUACUGACACAAAAAUUACUGACACCAAAAAUUAGUGUCAGUGUGUUCUGGCUUGAGCAACACUGACACAAUUAACAAGUGUCAAUAAAAGUAAUUACUGACGCUAAAUUAGUGUCAGUAAAACUCAUUUUUCUAGUAGUGUAUUCUCACAAAAGUUGGUACAAAGGUUUGUACAACCAGGGCCUCUUUGUAAAUUAUUUCAAAGUUUUGUGUUAUUUUUUAAAUUUAUGAAUUUUGUUAAUUUUGAUUGAUUGGAGCAUUUCUCCUUCCAUCUCUUCUACAUCUAUCUUUAAAUUUCUUUAAAAUUUUGACUAUAUCUUUAUAGAGUUCUAAAUGAUUAUCUUUUUCAUAAAAAUCUAUACUUAAAUUAAUCCCUGAAUUUAUAAUCAUUUGUCUUCUUUGAGUCAUAGACCAAAUUUUUUCUUCUAACAUAUCUAUAUAUACUCCUAAGCUAUCUUUGCAGCUUAGAUACAUUCUAUCAAAGCUUUCGCAUAUAAAUUGUAAUUUGAGAUCUGCAUCUUGAAUCAACAUGUCUAUAUUAUCCAUUGUUUUACGCUCGAUUUUGAGUUCUAUUAUUAGUCUUGCACAUGUCUUGGAUUAUUUCGAGGGUAGUUAAAAUUGAUUCUAUUAAUGCUAUCCUGUUUUCUUCUUCAAAAGAAUCAAAUAUUUCUGAAUCAUUAAUUUCUUUUAUUUCUUCAUACAAGCGUUUGUUUGUCGCUAAUCUUGUUUUAAUCAAGGAAACUGUAUAAGCAGCUUGAUAUUCUUGACAAAAGUCUAAAUGAUCUAUUGCAUCUAGAAAUUUAUUAAUAGAUCUUUCCAUUUUUAAGAAAUUGAGUUACUCUUAUCACUUCCAAUCUUUUAACAUCUCAGAAAACAAACAAGGCCCAACAUGCUUCCGUUUGUAGCUAAAAUAAAAGAAGAGUUCAUAUCACUAACCAGUGUAAUAUCUCUCGGAAUUCUGAGAUAGACUCACUAAUUGCCUCUAACCAUAGAGAGGUCCAUGGUUAGCACCACUAUAGCUCCACAUAUCAUACAAAAUCACUUCAACGACUGUUCCAUAUGGCCCAAAGCAACACACAGCAGACUGGCCUAAUAGGAUAUGUUUAAGUGAUUUUCUUGCAGUUGUCUCUGGAAGAGUGCUUAGUAAUAGAAAAUCUUCUUCGUUUAGUACAAGUAUUGGCAUGUAAGGUUCUUGGUUAAUUUUUAAAAGAUGUAUAAGAUAUCUAGAAGAUGAUAAUUUCACUCAAAAGAGUUUUAUUUAUUCCAUCAUUGAAAUUGUUUACAGAGGAAGGUUACAGAGAAUACAGAGGUAAUUGAAGGUUAGACAUCUGAUAUAUUUCCUUUCUUACAUGCUUUCAUUUAUAUAUCUCUCUAGAGAUAAGAUUAUUUCUUUUACAUAACACAUGUUCGAUCCUUGUGGUGGAAUCUCAAUUUCCUUUUGAUAAGGUGACCCCUUCUUUAUCAUUGAAGCUAGUAGUUGUCUUCUUUUCAUGUUGGCAGACAUGAAAUAUCUGGUUCUGGUGAGCUUUUUCUUUUUUGGAAUCUGUCUUUUUGAAUUAUUGAUACUUUUUGGAUAGCACCUUUUAUCUUUUUCAGUGGUCCUCGUCACGUGCCAAUUAUCAGAUCUUCAUCUAUAGACAUGUCUUCCCCACUAGAAUCUCUUUUUUUGAUCCUUCGUAGUAGUAGCCACAUGAUGAUUGAUGCUUUAGCACCUUAUAUAUCUCGUGGUGUGUUAGCAAGGUGGAUUCCACGAGAUUUUCGAAUAUGCCCUUUUUCUUUUCUAAUAUGUUAUCCUCAUCUUUAUCAAAUUCACAUUUACAAUAUAAUUCUUUGAAGCUACAUGUAUAUUCUUCUAAAUAACAUAUAUUACAUAUUUCAAGCCUUGUUAGCUUCAUUAAAUUUUCUAUCUGUUUUCUUUUUAUUUCUUGUUGAAAAUCAAUUUCCUAAUCUUCUCCCAAGAAUUUUUUUCUUAUUUCAUUUUUGAAUCUAUUUAAAACCUGAUCAACACUUUCGUUUCGAUUAUUAUUUUCUCCAUACAAUAUUCUAUUUUUAUGGUUAUCAUUUAAUCCCAUAAACCAAUGAGAAACAAUUCCUAUAAACGAAAUUUUAAGGAAUUCUAUACUAUUAUCCCUAUCAAUUUUGUGAAAUGCAAAAGCCAUUUUCAUAGAUUUAACCCAAGCGGUAAUCGUUUUAUCUCUAUCUUUGAUACAGUCUAAAUCUAACCAUACACCAUCAUGGUUGAUUGGUCUUUCUCUAUAUUCUCCUGGAGUUUUAUAAUCUUUUUUAGGCUUGUUAAUCCUAAAAUAUUGACCUUGUAAUCUUUCCUGAGUUGGUAUUUCUUCCCUAACAUAGGAAGCUCCAUUACUAGUUUCUCCUUGUUAAAAACCAUUUGGCUUUGAUUCAUUCAUUUUUAGAUGUUCUAUUCUAUUUUCAAUAUCCUGCAAAUUAAUGACUAUAUCACCUUCUUCUUCGGAUUCAGAUUCUUUAUUAGAUAUCUCUUGAUUAGGUAAUUCUAUGUUUUCACUUAGCAUUCUUAGACUUAUUAAUUUUUUGUCUUUGUUUAUUUUGUUAAAUAUCGGUUUAGAUAUUGUUAUCAUUUCUUUAUCUUUAAGUUCAUUAUAGUAAAUUAUGGUAUCUUGUAAAAUUUUGUUUUGUUUAUUGAUCUUCUGUACUUCAAUCCUUUUGUAAUUUUCCAUUUAUGCUUAUAGCGAAUUUAUUACCAAGUUGUUCAACAAUUUUUUCAAAUUUUUGUAGUUGGAUUUCAAUCUUGUUUGAAUUUAUUUUCAAUUGAACUUUUGUUCAUAAUAUUAAAGAUUUCUUGUUUUAAUCUAUCUUGAUCUUCAAUAUUAAAGUCUUUUAUUAAUAGCUUAACAAAAUCAAAUUCUUCACUCAUUCGCUCUCCUAUCAUUUUGACUUGUCUUAUAUUUUCAGCAUCAAAGCUUUUAAUCUCAAGUAUCUCAUUUAUACUUUCUAUAUCAUCUAUGGUUAAAUUAGGGUUUCCUAAUUUAUUUAAUAAAUAUAAUGAAAUCCAAUUUAAUUGAUUAUUUCCCCACAUAUCGGAAUCAUUUACUAAAUCAAAUGGUUGAAAUCUUCCAUAAGUAAAUCCUCUAUGCCUAUAGCUAGAAGGUGGUAAUAUGUUGGUUUCAAUAUUUUGAGAAAUUAACAAUGGUUUUGGUAAUUUAUUCAUAGUACCAUCUGCAUAAUAUCUCAUUAUAUUCUAAUAAGUAUUUAUGACAUAUAAUAUUUCUUAUAUCCUUAGGGAUAUUGUUUUAUGUUAAUCCUUUAUGUAUAUAGCAAAGUUUAUACAUAAUUAAAUCUUUAUAUCCUAUUAGCAUGUUGCUAGAAGGAUAAUAUUUACUUCUGAUUCUUUUAUUUUUCCAAUUGUAUUCACCUCGUUGUUUAACAUUUAAAAAUCCGUUGUAAUCUAUUAUAAGAUCAUCUACAUAAUCUUCAAUAGAGUUAAUAUUCCAUUGUUUCCAUGAAAAAUUAUUUCUAUAUACUUCUCUCCUGAUCCUAAAGAGAAGAAUAGGAUCAAUAUUUAAAUUUCUAAUUUUUAUUAUGAUGAGUUCUCCAAUUUUAAAUUCAUGAACUCUAACUAAAUAAAACUGUAUUAAUUGUUUAUCAUCCAAUAUAUUAACUUCUGAAUAAUAAUAUUGUUUAUGUUUUGUUAUAUUAUCUUUAAUUGUAUUUCUAUCUAUCAUUAAAUUAUAUCUUCCAUUAUUAAUGGAAUAAAUAACUGUUUCGUCUAUUUUUAUAUUUUAAACCAAAAACUUGGCUCUAAUACCGUUUUGCAGAAAUCAACUAAACCCAAAAUCCAAAUGAAUUCAAAUAGGGAUGUAUAUGAUUAAUUGUUAAGAUUUUAUCUAAAUUUUGUAAUUAUAAUUUUUCAAAACUCACAGUUUUGUGCAAUCAUUUGUGUAAUCCGUUGUGAGAAUGUCUUUUUCCUUGCAUCUAAGGCAACAAAGUGGAAAACGCGUACCAACGACUCACAUAACAAUAUAACAUCUGUCCCGGAUGGAGCCGGUUGUUCAUGUCAGCAACCUACUUUGAAACGACACGUGGACCGCAAUUUGUUCUUGUUCUCAACGUUGCUAUGAAAGAAAGCAUUUUUUUCCCCUUUUCUUCUUCAUUUUUUAAAGAAAUAUUUUACUAUAUAUUUAAAAAAAAAAAUCGUUGCAAUCUGAAGAUAUUAAAUUGUGGAUCUUGUAUUGUGUGAUAAGUCCGGCAUGCAAUUUUGGGCCAGCAUACCGCGCGCAUGGGAGCAUUCACAAAGAAUCUCUCGUCACUAUCGAAAACUUUUAAUAGUCAAUACAAAUGCUUCCGUUUCAUCCCAUAAACAGAUAAAAUUCACAUCUGUACACAUCUACUUUUCUUUGCUAGAUAGAGUUCCUCUGCAUUUCCCAAUUGCCUAAAGAGAAGGGGAAAAGAAAAAGAGGGCCAAAAAAUGCCUGAAAUGGUAAGGAACAAGCAAGUGAUAUUGAAGGACUAUGUGUCUGGUUUCCCAAAAGAAACAGACAUGUACAUGACCGAAAGUUCCAUAGAAUUGAAGGUGCCAAAAGGUUCAAAUGGGGUUCUUUUAAAGAACUUGUUUGGGAGAAAUACGUCGACGAGACCAGGCAUGGUGAGCAUAUAUCUGAUGGCAGAGUUCUGCGAACCGGUGUGUUCCGUAAAAGCCUGGUGCACGGGGGAACAGGAGCAGAAGUAUCCUGCUCGUCCACGAGCACGUCAUCCGCGAGGCCAAUUUCCUGUAAGAGGCAUAAGGUCAUUCCGGCUAGAGGUCGAGAGGCGAGGAGACCCGGUCGACGGCAGUUGGCAAGACAUGCUCCCCAGCCCGAGAAUCUAGGCACGACAGCCACGCUUUCCCCAGAACCGUGGCGUAACACGCAAGAUCUCACAGAACCACGACAGCCACGCUUUCCCCAGAACCGUGGCGUAACACGCAAGAUCUCACAGAACCACGACAGCCACGCUUUCCCCAGAACCGUGGCGUAACACGCAAGAUCUCACAGAACCACGACAGCCACGCUUUCCCCAGAACCGUGGCGUAACACGCAAGAUCUCACAGAACCACGACAACCACGCUUUCCCCAGAACCGUGGCGUAACACGCAAGAUCUCACAGAACCACGACAGCCACGCUUUCCCCAGAACCGUGGCGUAACACGCAAGAUCCCACGUUUGCCCAUAACGCAGCAGUCAGAGUCCCAUACCGUCUCGGAAAAAGCGGAAAACUGGGAUUCAGGGGAAGCCUAUAAAAAGGUAGCCAACGAAGGUAAAAGGGUUGGCAUUUUUGAGAUUAUAAAAGAAAUGAAAAAAGAAGAGAAAACGACGAGAAAGCCAUAAGAUCUGUGGCAAGUGUCCCCCGAACCUUCAUAUCUGACUUGAGCGUCGGAGGGUUUGCGCCGGGAAAACAACCGGCGUACUCUGACUUGUCUGUGUGCGCAGGAACCUCUGGAGAAGAAGCCUCACGUGGAGACCUCCUGGUCGUGAAGAAGUUGAUCGGACAGAGAUCCUGGUCGUAGAACGAGGAGAACCAGAAUCCCGCAUCAACAUUUUGGCGCCGUCUGUGGGGAGUGGAGCAAAAAGCUUCUGUUGAUAGCAAGAAGAGGGGUGAAGCAAGUGAAAAGCAAUGGAGACAGGAGGAAGUAGUGCACAAGGGGGUGAUAGGAUUAACGAUUCCGUGACGCUGAGGGAGAUAGUCAGUGAAGCACGGGAAAAAGUCAUGUUCGACCGGAUGGAACGGAUAGAAAAGCAGAUGGAGACCUUGACAACCAUCCUGCAUGAGCUGCGGAGCGAGCGAAGUAUAAUCCAAGAGGGAAGGGUGAGAGGCGGUGGAGUGGCACCAGGUCCCGAUAGUGCGGGGAGAAGUCAAACCACCGGGAGAUUUGGUGGUGAGAGAGGUAACGUACCUCUGCGGGGAGAAUUUCAUAGAGAAAGAGAGCAGUCCCCGGCAAGACAGACUGGCGACGAGGACGACGGGGUGGUGAAUGCAGAGGAAACAGAGUUGAGGCAACACUUGCAUGAUGUAGAGCAAGAGCGGGAUUAAGUCGCAGCACGUGACCCUGGUCGUGCAGUGCAGCUGGAGGAGGAAGUGCGCAGACUAGCGCAGAUAAUCGACGACAUGCAAGGAAGGAACAGAGCCCCUGGUUGGAGGAUAAUGCUGGAUGGAGAAUCACCGCUCGCAGCAGAGAUCAUGAGGGCAGUUAUUCCGAGAGAUUUCCGCCUCCCAGACCUCAGAUACUCGGGAAGAACUGAUCCGUUGGUGCACAUAGAGCGCUUCAACGACAUAACUAGGGUACAAGGAUUAUCUCAAUCCCAAAGGUGCAGAGUGUUCCCACUAUCCCUUGAGGGACGUGCACGAGAAUGGUACAGGAAACUUCCUCGGGGCAGCAUUAAAACCUUCGAGCAGAUGUGCUAGGAAUUCGCGGAGCAGUUUAGUGGGGCAAUGGCGCCGGAAGAUGACAUGAUGGAGCUGAAAAGCAUGAAACAGGGGGAGCAAGAAACCCUUCGGGAAUUCAUCAAGAGGUUUCAUCGGGCUGUCCUCGACUUGGGAGCCUUCAACCACCCUCAGGCGUUAAGGGGAUUGAAAGAAGGGGUGAAGAUAGGAAGGCUGUGGUACAAUUUGAGAAGCCCAGCUAUUCAAACGUAUGCAGCCGCAUACGAACAGGCUAAGAGAGACAUCGAGAUUGAAGAGGAGAAGGCUGCACGGAUUAAGACAGACCAGUUAGAAGGGCUGGGGAGGAAAGAGAAGAAAGCAUUACCGGGGAAUGGGCCGAUCAGGAGGAGGGACCACCAGGCCUCCGGUAGUGGAGCAGGAGGUCGGGUAGCCGCUUACCAGCCUCAUCAAAGGCCACCACAGUAUCAGCGCAGCAGGGCGCAACCUCCUCGUUCCCCAGCUAGGGAGCCUUGGAAAAGGCAUGAGUCGGCAUCUGGUGGUCUCCAACAACACCCCCACGGUAUCAGAGCGAGCAGACCAGAAGUACUUCCACCGCCCCCAACUCAGAGCGGGGCAAACAGGGAAAGAGCAGUGCACCUGAUCGACCAGAACCCGGACUAUGGGCGGUACACUUCCUUGAAGAUGUCCCUGGAUGAGGUGUACGAGGCCAUAAAGGAUCGAGGGCUGCUACACCUCCCUACACCAAUAACAAAGCUACCUAACAGGAGGGAUAGAGGACGUUAUUGUAAGUUCCAUGGCACCCAUGGCCAUACCACAGCAGAGUGUAGAGAUCUCAAGACCCAGGUCGAAGAUUUGGUGAGAAAUCGGUACCUGGACGAGUUUAUGGAUGGGACUUUCCCGAUGGGGGCCACAACAGGUGAAGGGGAGCAGAGUGGCGGAAACGUGAGGCGCGAGCAGCCCGCAGUAAGGGUGAUAGCUGGGGGCCCGACAUUGGCCGGAGAUUCCAACAGAUCGAGAAAAAAUUAUGCUAGGUACGCCAUGACCAGUAAAGAGGUACUCCUCAACACCCCAGCAGCCAAACGAGCAAGGGUCAGGCAAGUGCCAAUCAUGUGGACGGAUGAGGAUGAGGAAGGGAUUCUAUACCCCCAUGAGGAUGCUUUAGUCAUCAAGGCUACUGUCGCUAGCAAGAAGUUUGACCGGAUACUGAUUGAUACAGGGAGCUCAGUUGAUGUGUUAUUUAAGUCAACCCUGGAAGAGAUGGGAAUAGCCGACCGGAAGUUGGAAUAUACCAAUACCUCCUUGAAGGGGUUCGGAGGAGGGAAGCUGGUCCCUCUGGGCGUGGUCGAGCUGCCUAUCACAAUUGGGAGCUCCCCGACAGAAAGAACAAUGAUACUGGACUUUGUCGUAGUGGAUGAGGAAGGUCCUUACCAGAUGAUCCUAGGUCGGCCAUUUUUAAGGAUGAGCAAAGCGGUGUUGUCCAAUCAUUAUCUGGCUCUGAAGUACCGGGUGAACGGGGUAGUAGGAGUGGUACGAGGAGACCAGAGGAUCGCAAGAAGCUGCUACUCCUCGGCAGCAAGGGAAGCAAUGCAGAUAACAUCCCUCGAUACCCGAGUGGAAAACAAGAAGGGCAGACAAGAACCUGUAGAGGAUCUGGAAACAGUAAGCCUGGGACCAGAGAACCCGGGAAAGAUGAUCAGAAUCGGGUCGAGACUUAAGGGAGAGCAAAAGCAGGAGUUGGUGAAAUGCUUACAGGCUCAUGCUGAUGUGUUUGCUUGGACACAUGAAGACAUGCCAGGGAUUGACCCUGAGGUAGCAUGUCAUAAGCUGGCAAUAAAGAAAGGUGCUCGGGCAGUAAGGCAGAAGAGGAGGUGUUUCAACCAGGAGAGGUAUGAGGCUAUAAAUGGCGAGGUGGAGAAGCUCUUGAGAGCAGGGUUCAUUCGGGAAGUCAGUUACCCUGAGUGGAUAUCGAAUGUGGUGUUGGUAAAGAAGGCAAACGGCAAGUGGAGGAUGUGUGUGGAUUUCACAGACCUCAAUAAGGCGUGCCCAAAAGACAGCUUCCCUUUACCAAAGAUCGAUCAGCUAGUAGAUUCAACGGCUGGACAUGGUCUGCUUAGCUUCAUGGACGCGUUCUCGGGAUACAACCAGAUCCCCAUGUACGAGCAGGAUGAGGAGAGCACGGCUUUCAUCACUAACCAAGGUUUGUUCUGUUACAGGGUAAUGCCAUUCGGUCUCAAAAAUGCCGGGGCCACCUAUCAAAGGCUGGUGAACAAAGUCUUUAAGCCGUUGAUUGGGAAAACCAUGGAGGUGUACGUGGAUGACAUGAUCACCAAGUCCAAAAUCCCGGAGGAACAUGUCAGACACCUCGAGGAGACAUUCGAGCUUUUGAGGAAGUAUAAGAUGAAGCUCAACCCGGAGAAGUGUGCUUUUGGGGUCGAGUCGGGGAAAUUCCUUGGAUUCAUGGUGAGCCAUAGGGGGAUUGAAGCAAAUCCCGAGAAAAUCCAGGCGAUUGUGCAAAUGACGUCUCCCCGUAACCUGAAGGAGAUGCAGAGCCUCACGGGGAGGUUGGCGGCGUUGAGCAGAUUCAUAGCCAAGGCUACAGAUAAGUGUCAGCCGUUCUUUCAAGUGAUGAGGAGGGGAAAGAAAACAGAAUGGACCUCAGAAUGCGAGGAAGCCUUCCGGAACUUGAAGCAAUACUUGCAGCAAGCUCCGCUGCUGUCCACACCGAGGGAUGGGGACAAGUUAUAUCUGUAUUUAGCGGUAUCGGCUCGGGCCGUCAGUUCUGUUCUGGUGAGAGAGGAAGAAGGAGUUCAGUAUCCGAUAUAUUACACCAGCAAGGCCCUGCUCGACGCUGAGACCAGAUACCCACCGUUGGAGAAAUGGGCACUUGCCCUUGUGGUUGCUGCUCGGAAGUUGAGGCCAUAUUUUCAAGCAUUCCCGGUCUUGGUAAUAACAAACCAGCCAUUGCGUCAAACUCUGCACAAGCCAGAUGCCUCUGGUCGGCUCGUCAAGUGGGCUGUAGAGCUGAGCGAGUUCGACAUAGACUAUAAGCCCCGCGCAGCGAUAAAAGCCCAGGCAAUGGCCGAUUUCGUAGCUGAAUUCACAGAGCCCGAAGUAUGCUUAGAUCAACAAGAGGCAGAUAUAGGCAAUGACGAAACUCAAGUAUGGCAGAUGUCUGUGGAUGGGUCAUCAGGGGAGCGGGGUUCAGGAGUAGGGAUUGUCUUGGAAGGCCCAGAGGGGGAGGAGAUCUCUUAUGCUGUAAAAUUGGAAUUUGCAGCCACGAAUAACCAGGCAGAGUAUGAAGCCUUGAUAGCAGGUCUGGAAUUGGCUAAGGCCGUGAAAGCAAACAAAGUUAAGAUCAGAACUGAUUCCCAGCUGGUAGCGAAUCAUGUCAGUGAAAGAUUCCAACCAAGAGAGGAGAAGAUGGGGCAGUACCUGAAGAUAGUCAAGCAGAUGAUGGGGAAGUUCGAAGCAGUGGAGGUGAUACAGAUCCCCAGGGAGCAGAAUAGUCGAGCAGACAUUUUGGCUAGGAUGGCAGCAGUAGCCGACCCAAAAAUGCCAAAGUCGGUCCCUCUGGAGGUGAAGUCCGGCCCAAGUAUCGAUCAGAAUUUGGGGGUGAUGCGGAUAGAACAAAAAUGCUCGUGGAGGGACCCGAUAGUUUCAUACCUUAGAGACGGGGUAUUACCACCAGAUAAGAUGCGAGCUCGCAAGCUUAGAGCCCAGGCCUCGAGAUACACGAUGAUUGAUGGGGUACUGUAUCGGCGAGGAUAUACACUACCGUUCCUUCGGUGUUUGGAUGAGGACGACGCGGAUUACGUACUAAGAGAAGUACACGAAGGAAUUUGCGGAAAUCAUUCUGGCGGGAGGUCCCUGGCCCAUAAGGUUCUAAGGCAGGGAUAUUUCUGGCCGACAAUGCACCAGGAUGCGCAAGAGAAGACCAGGAGUUGUGUAAGUUGCCAGAGUUUUGCAAAUUUCUCUAACCAACCACCAGAGAAGCUUACCUCCAUGACCUCCCCCUGGCCAUUUGCUCAAUGGGGAAUUGAUCUGAUCGGCCCAUUGCCAAAGGCACGGGGAGCAGCAACACAUGCAAUAGUUGCUAUAGAUUACUUCACGAAGUGGAUAGAGGUAGAAGCCCUUAGCAGGAUCACAGAGAAGAAAACAACAGACUUCGUGUGGAGAAACCUGGUCUGUCGAUACGGGAUCCCUUAUGCCUUGGUAACGGAUAAUGGCAGGCAGUUCGAUAACCACAGCUUCAGGGAUUUCUGCCAGAACCUCGGGAUAGAGCUGAAGUAUUGCUCGCCUGCUCACCCUCAAUUGAAUGGACAAGUAGAAGCAGCCAACAAGACCAUCAAGAGGCUUUUAAAAACCAGGCUUGGAGCAAAAAAGGGUGCGUGGGUUGACGAGCUGUCAGGUGUGCUAUGGGCAUACAGAACAACCCACAAAACCGCAACUGGGGAGACACCGUUCGCUUUGGCUUUCGGACAUGAAGCGGUCGUGCCGGCUGAGAUAGGAACGACCACACACCGGACAAAUCAUUUCAAUGAGCAGGAGAACGACGAGCAGAUAUGUUUGAAUCUUGAUCUGCUAACGGAAAGGUGGGAGCAAGCAGCCGAGCGAUCAGUCAUUUACCAACAGAGGGUUGCUCGGUAUUAUAACCAGAAGGUGAACAUACGGCAAUUCAGGGUCGGAGACUGGGUACUGAGAAGAGUGAAUCAGAGCACCAAAGAUUCGACUCAAGGAGUGCUGGGACCGAAUUGGGAAGGGCCAUAUAGAGUCAAGCAGAUAGCGGGACCCGGAGCUUACAGGCUGGUUCGCACGGACGGCCACGAGGUGAAACGCCCAUGGAACGCAGCACACCUCCGAAAAUACUUCCAGUAAGACUUGUUCACAUGUGAAAACUAUUUUUGCUCAUGUUCAUUACCGUUUAUCUUUCACGCUUAUUGUCCAAACAAUUUCAUGUAAGUCGAAUCCUGCCAUUAAUGGAACGUCGAGGAAUUUCUUUCGCUUGAAACCGAGAAAAUUUUCCAAGGCAUGCAAAGGCUCACCAAGUCUCAAAGCCUGUCUUAUGGCGAGACAGAAGCCAAGCAUGCCAGGAUCUGCUCGGCCACGAGAAGGCAAGCAGAAUCCCAAUCCUCGAAGAAUCCAAGGCAUGCAAAGGCUCACCAAGUCUCAAAGCCUGUCUUAUGGCGAGACAGAAGCCAAGCAUGCCAGGAUCUGCUCGGCCACGAGAAGGCAAGCAGAAUCCCAAUCCUCGAAGAAUCCAAGGCAUGCAAAGGCUCACCAAGUCUCAAAGCCUGUUUUAUGGCGAGACAGAAGCCAAGCAUGCCAGGAUCUGCUCGGCCACUAGAAGGCGAGCAGACUCCAAAGCAUUCGAAGAAAUGCCCAAGGCAUGCAAAGGCUCGACAAAGUCUCAAAGCCUGUUUUAUGGCGAGACAGAAGCCAAGCAUGCCAGGAUCUGCUCGGCCACUAGAAGGCGAGCAGACUCCAAAGCAUUCGAAGAAAUGCCCAAGGCAUGCAAAGGCUCGACAAAGUCUCAAAGCCUGUUUUAUGGCGAGACAGAAGCCAAGCAUGCCAGGAUCUGCUCGACUACUAGAAGGCGAGCAGACUCCAAAGCAUUCGAAGAAAUGCCCAAGGCAUGCAAAGGCUCGACAAAGUCUCAAAGCCUGUUUUAUGGCGAGACAGAAGCCAAGCAUGCCAGGAUCUGCUCGGCCACUAGAAGGCGAGCAGACUCCAAAGCAUUCGAAGAAAUGCCCAAGGCAUGCAAAGGCUCGACAAAGUCUCAAAGCCUGUUUUAUGGCGAGACAGAAGCCAAGCAUGCCAGGAUCUGCUCGGCCACUAGAAGGCGAGCAGACUCCAAAGCAUUCGAAGAAAUGCCCAAGGCAUGCAAAGGCUCGACAAAGUCUCAAAGCCUGUUUUAUGGCGAGACAGAAGCCAAGCAUGCCAGGAUCUGCUCGACUACUAGAAGACGAGCAGACUCCAAAGCAUUCGAAGAAAUGCCCAAGGCAUGCAAAGGCUCGACAAAGUCUCAAAGCCUGUUUUAUGGCGAGACAGAAGCCAAGCAUGCCAGGAUCUGCUCGACUACUAGAAGGCGAGCAGACUCCAAAGCAUUCGAAGAAAUGCCCAAGGCAUGCAAAGGCUCGACAAAGUCUCAAAGCCUGUUUUAUGGCGAGACAGAAGCCAAGCAUGCCAGGAUCUGCUCGACUACUAGAAGGCGAGCAGACUCCAAAGCAUUCGAAGUAAUGCCCAAGGCAUGCAAAGGCUCGACAAAGUCUCAAAGCCUGUUUUAUGGCGAGACAGAAGCCAAGCAUGCCAGGAUCUGCUCGACUACUAGAAGGCGAGCAGACUCCAAAGCAUUCGAAGUAAUGCCCAAGGCAUGCAAAGGCUCGACAAAGUCUCAAAGCCUGUUUUAUGGCGAGACAGAAGCCAAGCAUGCCAGGAUCUGCUCGACUACUAGAAGGCGAGCAGACUCCAAAGCAUUCGAAGUAAUGCCCAAGGCAUGCAAAGACUCACCAAGUCUCAAAGCCUGUUUUAUGGCGAGGCAGAAGCCAAACGUGCCAGGAUCUGCUCGACCACUAGAAGGCGAGCAGUCUCCAAAGCAUUCGAAGAAUCUCCAAAGGCAUGUGGCAAAACCAUGAGCCAAGCCGGAACCUGCUCGUCUAGACAGAGACAAGCAGAUUCUCAACCGAAAAUUAAUUCAUAAUUACAUCACAAGAAAGUAAUCAAAAACCAUUUUUAUUAAUUUGUUAAUAAUUAACAGAGGGGAUAAUCUUCAUGAACAUUGUUCAUUACAAUACAAGAAAUAUAUCAGGAAGAUGGUGGACCAGUAAGCCCGGCAGCAUCGGUUGGCUGGACCUCCUCAGGUGCAGGAGGGGUAUCACCAGUUGCGUCCGGGGGGUGCUCGCCUCGCCAACAUCAGCAGGGACUGCACGAGCAGGAGAGUCUUCCUCCUCAAUCACGAUCGGCUCUACCCCAUCGGCAUCUUCCUUGGCCGCCUCCUCAUCCAUAUGUUGAGCAACACCAGCUGCAAGGUCAUCCAUCUUCAGAUCAGGGUGUUGCUUCCCGAGGACGGCCAUGAUGCAACGAUAGGAAUGCCGAAGUCCCUGGUCGUACUGGUUGUCAGCCUCCCUCUCCAAGUUCUCGACCUGAGCUCGGUGGGAGUCGCGGAGAGAUUCGAGCUGAGCCUCAUACAUAGCCUUCUGCCUUUGCAGAUCCUCCUUGACCGUGGUAAGCUCCUCCUCGAGGGAAAUGGCUUUUGCUUGAGCAAGUGAUUCUUGCUCUAUUAACUUCAGAUUCUCGAGAUUCAGCUCCCCUGCUUUCUUCUCGGCAACGUCAGCUCUGGUCGUCGCCGAUUGAAUAUCCUCCUUCAUCUUCCGGUCGUAGCGGCCAACCUUAGCCUUGUAAUAGGUGGUCAUGCAGCUGAGGUGGAAAGCGCUAUGCUGCAUGGCCCCCACCAGCUCACCCAAGGUGCGGCCGUCAAAGUCCUCCAAGUCCUUCUUGCUCAUGAGUUUAGUUAACUCAUUGAGGUAGGGGACCAGGUGUUCUGCUCGGCUGUCAGGUAAGCGAGAUCGAGGCCCGACAGGAGGAAAAGAGGAAGCAGGAUCUGUAGCUGCUCCACUAGCUUCCCCGACUUUUACAGGAGCAGGAGGUAAAAUCUUCAAGGGUGGGACCUGCUGCAUGAUGUUGGCCCGCUUUGCAGCAGGGGCAUUCUUAUUCUGGUCCCUCUUCGUGGUGGGAGGUCGGGAACGUUUUCGGGUCAGAGCCCCAAUCACAGCGUCCUCCAUCCUAUGGCCAGGAAGUAUCAAGCGAGACUCGAGCAAGUUGUAUGUAGUUAGCAGUUCUCGGCUCGAGCAGGAAUUGGCUAGUACAGCCUCGACCCGUUUGAGCUGGUCAGGUUCAAGCGGGAAGUGGACACCCCAAGAAACUACAACACAAACAGACACUUGGUUAGAGACAAGCCAAUAAAGCAAGAACAAUUAUGGAUGCAAGACAUCUAGAGCGAGCAGGCAACCUGGGACCGUGAAACGGGGUGGGACGCGACAAUCCUUCCCGCCUAUUUGUGCAACUUGACCCCAAGGACCCCCAGCAAAAAAGAAUUUCCUCUUCCAAGCCCCACCACCACCGGUUGGAAGAUCGGUUAUGGAUUUCCGGCUCUUGGUGCUAGAUUGGAAGUAGUACCAGCCGGCAUCUUUGGGGCUGCUCUUUAGCUGGUACAAGUGCUUCACCUCGUCAACCGUGGGCUCGCUUUGGCAACAUCUGUCCCACAAUAUGAACAGACCAGAGAGCACUCUCCACCCAUUGGGAUUCAGCUGACCAGGAGCUAGAUUUAGCCCGUUAAGUAUCCGGGCAAAGUAGGGUUGCAAGGGACACCUCAGCCCGUACUUAAAGCUCUCUAGAAACAGGGUAACGUAUCCCCUAGGAGGCCGGCUGGGAGCAUCCUUCUUUCCUGGGACCUUGAGAGGUAUCUCACCAGGAAUGCUAUACCUAAGCUGGAGGUCAUUGAGCUCGUCAAACAAGGUCGUGCACGUCAUGUAAUCAAUGGCAUAAUCGCGCGACAAGGCUCUGCCUCCUACUGUACCCCGUUCCUCUAGUCGUGAUGUUCCAGAUGGAGACACCUCACCAGAGUCACCUUCCCCAUUCUCACUUAAGGUGUCCUCAGAGCCAGAAGGUCCCCCCUCACCAUUGCUUCCGCUCGUGGAGGUUGUUUGGGGGGACAUCCUCCUAGCACUAGUCCCGACACUAAACCUAAUGGGUUCUAAGGGGAUCCCGGGGUCAAAAGCCGGAUCAGUGAGCAGACUAGGCAGGAAACUUAGUUCGUCGUCAUCAAUCUCAACGACUUUCUCCUUACCUUUCGACAUUCCCUAAGCCCUAACCACAACACCACCAACUACUACCUAAACAGAAGAGAAGAGAAAUUAUCUACAACUAUCCGAGACCAAGGAGAUAGAAGAAAUACCUGAAGUAAUGGUUCAGUCGGUGAAAGUCAGAGAUGGAGGCCUUUUAUGCCGGAACUUCUUUGCCGGAGAAACAGAGACGGAGACGGAGUGAAUGAUGAAUAUGCCGUUCGAGAGGAUUUGGUUUUCCUAAUGAAGACGGACUCUUGGGUUGCCAGCAUUUAACGGCGCCGAAUCCCGAGGGUCUCAUAACCGUCGGUUUGAAAUUCAAAUGAAGGGGGGGAUUUCUGCCACGUCACCUCGUCCGCAAUUAAAUGCGACAUGACUCUUGGCAGCCUUUUCCAAUCCCACGCGGGCGAGUACUAACGAGUUUCUACUGCUGGUCCACUACAUUACCCAACACCAGAAACUGGGGGACCGGUGUUUGGGAGAAAUACGUCGAUGAGACCAGGCAUGGUGAGCAGAUAUCUGAUGGCAGAGUUCUGCGAACCGGUGUGUUCCGUAAAAGCCUGGUGCACGGGGGAACAUGAGCAGAAGUAUCCUGCUCGUCCACGAGCACGUCAUCCGCGAGGCAAAUUUCCUGUAAGAGGCAUAAGGUCAUUCCGGCUAGAGGUCGAGAGGCGAGGAGACCCGGUCGACGGCAGUUGGCAAGACAUGCUCCCCAGCCCGAGAAUCUAGGCACGACAGCCACGCUUUCCCCAGAACUGUGGCGUAACACGCAAGAUCUCACAGAACCACGACAGCCACGCUUUCCCCAGAACCGUGGCGUAACACGCAAGAUCUCACAGAACCACGACAGCCACGCUUUCCCCAGAACCGUGGCAUAACACGCAAGAUCUCACAGAACCACGACAGCCACGCUUUCCCCAGAACCGUGGCGUAACACGCAAGAUCUCACAGAACCACGACAGCCACGCUUUCCCCAGAACCGUGGCGUAACACGCAAGAUCCCACGUUUGCCCAUAACGCAGCAGUCAGAGUCCCAUACCGUCUCAGAAAAAGCGGAAAACUGGGAUUCAGGGGAAGCCUAUAAAAAGGUAGCCAACGAAGGUAAAAGGGUUGGCAUUUUUGAGAUUAUAAAAGAAAUGAAAAAAGAAGAGAAAACGACGAAAAAGCCAUAAGAUCUGUGGCAAGUGUCCCCCGAACCUUCAUAUCUGACUUGAGCGUCGGAGGGUUUGCGCCGGGAAAACAACCGGCGUACUCUGACUUGUCUGUGUGCGCAGGAACCUCUGGAGAAGAAGCCUCACGUGGAGACCUCCUGGUCGUGAAGAAGUUGAUCGGGCAGAGAUCCUGGUCGUAGAACGAGGAGAACCGGAAUCCCGCAUCAACAGAACUUGUACUUGUCCUGUGAUCCGUACAUGCGACCACGAAUGACCUACAUCGAAGGAUCUUACGUUGAAUCCUUUAAACCUGGCUUG